This 497-nucleotide ribosomal RNA is filed under the name uncultured bacterium. RNAcentral describes it as "partial 16S ribosomal RNA". It matches the Rfam family "Bacterial small subunit ribosomal RNA", at positions 28 to 507 of the family's 1533-position model. The record is from RNAcentral.
GAUGAACGCUGGCGGCGUGCCUAAUACAUGCAAGUCAAGCGAACAGACGAGGAGCUUGCUCCUUUGACGUUAGCGGCGGACGGGUGAGUAACACGUGGAUAACCUACCUAUAAGACUGGGAUAACUUCGGGAAACCGGAGCUAAUACCGGAUAACAUGUUGAACCGCAUGGUUCAACAGUGAAAGACGGUCUUGCUGUCACUUAUAGAUGGAUCCGCGCCGCAUUAGCUAGUUGGUAAGGUAACGGCUUACCAAGGCAACGAUGCGUAGCCGACCUGAGAGGGUGAUCGGCCACACUGGAACUGAGACACGGUCCAGACUCCUACGGGAGGCAGCAGUAGGGAAUCUUCCGCAAUGGGCGAAAGCCUGACGGAGCAACGCCGCGUGAGUGAAGAAGGUCUUCGGAUCGUAAAACUCUGUUAUUAGGGAAGAACAAAUGUGUAAGUAACUAUGCACGUCUUGACGGUACCUAAUCAGAAAGCCACGGCUAACUACGUG